UGCCAUGACAGUAACAACCAAAUUAUACUC
RNAcentral lists this non-coding RNA (30 nucleotides) under Mus musculus (house mouse). Lineage: Eukaryota; Metazoa; Chordata; Mammalia; Rodentia; Muridae. The record is from RNAcentral.